GGAUGUGAGGGCGAUCUGGUUGCGACAUCUGUCACCCCAUUGAUCGCCAGGGUUGAUUCGGCUGAUCUGGCUGGCUAGGCGGGUGUCCCCCUCCCCCCCCCCCCGCGUCCCUCCCGAAGCUGCGCGCUCGGUCGAAGAGGACGACCAUCCCCGCUAGAGGAGGACCGGUCUUCGGUCAAGGGUAUACGAGUAGCUGCGCUCCCCUGCUAGAACCUCCAAACAAGCUCUCAAGGUCCAUUUGUAGGAGAACGUAGGGUAGUCAAGCUUCCAAGACUCCAGACACAUCCAAAUGAGGCGCUGCACGUGGCAGUCUGCCUUUCUUU
This 323-nucleotide small nuclear RNA is filed under the name Bos mutus (wild yak). RNAcentral describes it as "7SK RNA (ENSBMUG00000021634.1)". It matches the Rfam family "7SK RNA". From Rfam's summary of the family: 7SK was discovered as an abundant small nuclear RNA in the mid-70s but a possible function has only recently been suggested. Two independent studies have found that 7SK RNA binds the CDK9/cyclin T complex (known as elongation factor P-TEFb). Lineage: Eukaryota; Metazoa; Chordata; Mammalia; Artiodactyla; Bovidae. The record is from Rfam by way of RNAcentral.